This 29-nucleotide non-coding RNA is filed under the name Rattus norvegicus (Norway rat). Lineage: Eukaryota; Metazoa; Chordata; Mammalia; Rodentia; Muridae. The record is from RNAcentral.
UGCCAUCAAUAUAGCAUAAUUUUAGUAGU